GCCCAGACUCCUACGGGAGGCAGCAGUGAGGAAUAUUGGUCAAUGGGCGAGAGCCUGAACCAGCCAAGUCGCGUGAGGGAGUACUGUCCUAUGGGUUGUAAACCUCUUUUGUCGGGGAGCAAAAGCCGGACGUGUCCGGCUGUGAGAGUACCCGAAGAAAAAGCAUCGGCUAACUCCAUGCCAGCAGCCGCGGUAAUACGGAGGAUGCGAGCGUUAUCCGGAUUUAUUGGGUUUAAAGGGUGCGCAGGCGGAUUUUUAAGUCAGCGGUCAAAUCGUGGGGCUCAACCCCAUCCAGCCGUUGAAACUGGGGAUCUAGAGUGUGCGAGAGGUAUGCGGAAUGCGUGGUGUAGCGGUGAAAUGCAUAGAUAUCAGGAGGAACACCGGUGGCGAAGGCGGCCUGCUGGACUGCAACUGACGUUGAGGCCCGAAAGCGUGGGGAGCAAACAGGAUUAGAUACCCUGGUAAG
Molecule: ribosomal RNA, 466 nt
Filed under: uncultured bacterium
Lineage: Bacteria
Description: partial 16S ribosomal RNA
Rfam family: Bacterial small subunit ribosomal RNA
Source: RNAcentral